GAUGAACGCUGGCGGCGUACCUAAUACAUGCAAGUCGAGCGAACGGACGAGAAGCUUGCUUCUCUGAUGUUAGCGGCGGACGGGUGAGUAACACGUGGAUAACCUACCUAUAAGACUGGGAUAACUUCGGGAAACCGGAGCUAAUACCGGAUGAUAUUUUGAACCGCAUGGUUCAAAAGUGAAAGACGGCCUUGCUGUCACUUAUAGAUGGAUCCGCGCUGCAUUAGCUAGUUGGUAAGGUAACGGCUUACCAAGGCAACGAUGCAUAGCCGACCUGAGAGGGUGAUCGGCCACACUGGAACUGAGACACGGUCCAGACCCCUACGGGAGGCAGCAGUAGGGAAUCUUCCGCAAUGGGCGAAAGCCUGACGGAGCAACGCCGCGUGAGUGAUGAAGGUCUUCGGAUCGUAAAACUCUGUUAUUAGGGAAGAACAUAUGUGUAAGUAACUGUGCACAUCUUGACGGUACCUAAUCAGAAAGCCACGGCUAACUACGUG
This 497-nucleotide ribosomal RNA is filed under the name uncultured bacterium. RNAcentral's name for it is "partial 16S ribosomal RNA". It matches the Rfam family "Bacterial small subunit ribosomal RNA", at positions 28 to 507 of the family's 1533-position model. The record is from RNAcentral.